GCCUGGAUGGCUCAGUCAGUUGAGCAUCUGACUUCAGCUCAGAUCAUGAUCUCACGCUUCGUGAGUUCGAGCCCUGUGUCGGGCU
Molecule: transfer RNA, 85 nt
Filed under: Felis catus (domestic cat)
Lineage: Eukaryota; Metazoa; Chordata; Mammalia; Carnivora; Felidae
Rfam family: tRNA
About the family: Transfer RNA (tRNA) molecules are approximately 80 nucleotides in length. Their secondary structure includes four short double-helical elements and three loops (D, anti-codon, and T loops). Further hydrogen bonds mediate the characteristic L-shaped molecular structure. tRNAs have two regions of fundamental functional importance: the anti-codon, which is responsible for specific mRNA codon recognition, and the 3' end, to which the tRNAs corresponding amino acid is attached (by aminoacyl-tRNA synthetases). tRNAs cope with the degeneracy of the genetic code in two manners: having more than one tRNA (with a specific anti-codon) for a particular amino acid; and 'wobble' base-pairing, i.e. permitting non-standard base-pairing at the 3rd anti-codon position.
Source: Rfam by way of RNAcentral